ACAAACAAAGCUUUUUAUUUGAUCUGGUUCCAUUUAUCUUUACUAAUUCAAAUAUCCUUCCCUUGUACAGGGACGUCAUUAACAAUAGCAUUCAUGGCGUAAUUCCUUUAUUUUUGCCCCCCAGUGCAACCCAUAUAAACCUGGCAUUCAAUCGGCUGAGACAGAAUAUUCCAUUCUCCUUAGCUUCCUUGAAAUCUCUCCAUUAUUUGUAAGUUCUUGUAAUGAGUGAGGUUUGUACUUACUGGCUUUUUUGGUUGCAUUAUUUAGUACCAUAUGAGCAGCAGCACCAA
Magnolia sinica is the source of this 290-nucleotide long non-coding RNA. RefSeq lists it as uncharacterized. The transcript is spliced from 2 exons. NCBI's taxonomy places the organism in Eukaryota, Viridiplantae, Streptophyta, Magnoliopsida, Magnoliales, Magnoliaceae. The record is from RefSeq and is a predicted model, not a curated record.